RNAcentral lists this ribosomal RNA (449 nucleotides) under uncultured bacterium. Its description in RNAcentral is "bacterial SSU rRNA". It matches the Rfam family "Bacterial small subunit ribosomal RNA", at positions 328 to 792 of the family's 1533-position model. The record is from RNAcentral.
CGUCCAGACUCCUACGGGAGGCAGCAGUGGGGAAUAUUGCACAAUGGGCGAAAGCCUGAUGCAGCGACGCCGCGUGAGUGAAGAAGUAUUUCGGUCUGUAAAGCUCUAUCAGCAGGGAAGAAAAUGACGGUACCUGACUAAGAAGCCCCGGCUAACUACGUGCCGGCAGCCGCGGUAAUACGUAGGGGGCAAGCGUUAUCCGGAUUUACUGGGUGUAAAGAGUUGCGUAGGUGGCAUAAUAAGUAGCUAGUGAAAUCUGGUGGCUCAACCAUUCAGACUAUUAGCUAAACUGUUAAGCUCGAGACCGUUAGGGGUAACUGGAAUUUCUAGUGUAGGAGUGAAAUCCGUAGAUAUUAGAAGGAACACCAAUAGCGUAGGCAGGUUGCUGGGACGGUUCUGACACUAAGGCACGAAAGCGUAGGGAGCAAACGGGAUUAGAUACCCGAGUA